UACGUAUGGGGCGAGCGUUGUCCGGAAUGACUGGGCGUAAAGGGCGUGUAGGCGGUCAUUUAAGUCUGGAGUGAAAGUCCUGCAUUCAAUGUGGGAAUUGCUUUGGAUACUGGAUGACUUGAGUGCGGAAGAGGUAAGUGGAAUUCCCAGUGUAGCGGUGAAAUGCGUAGAGAUUGGGAGGAACACCAGUGGCGAAGGCGACUUACUGGGCCGUAACUGACGCUGAGGCGCGAAAGCGUGGGGAGCGAACAGGAUUAGAUACCCCGGUAGU
Molecule: ribosomal RNA, 271 nt
Filed under: uncultured prokaryote
Description: partial 16S ribosomal RNA
Rfam family: Bacterial small subunit ribosomal RNA
Source: RNAcentral